UUAUUUGAGAGUUUGAUCCUGGCUCAGGAUGAACGCUGGCGGCGUGCCUAACACAUGCAAGUUGAGCGAUUUACUUC
RNAcentral lists this ribosomal RNA (77 nucleotides) under Clostridioides difficile. Its description in RNAcentral is "partial 16S ribosomal RNA". It matches the Rfam family "Bacterial small subunit ribosomal RNA", at positions 1 to 77 of the family's 1533-position model. The record is from RNAcentral. Lineage: Bacteria; Bacillati; Bacillota; Clostridia; Peptostreptococcales; Peptostreptococcaceae.